RNAcentral lists this ribosomal RNA (587 nucleotides) under uncultured haloarchaeon. Its description in RNAcentral is "bacterial SSU rRNA". It matches the Rfam family "Archaeal small subunit ribosomal RNA", at positions 335 to 921 of the family's 1478-position model. The record is from RNAcentral. Lineage: Archaea; Methanobacteriati; Methanobacteriota; Halobacteria; Halobacteriales; Halobacteriaceae.
GCAGGCGCGAAACCUUUACACUGCACGACAGUGCGAUAGGGGGAUCCCAAGUGCACAGGCAUAGCGCCUGUGCUUUUCGGUACCCUAAGGCGGUACCGGAAUAAGGGCUGGGCAAGACCGGUGCCAGCCGCCGCGGUAAUACCGGCAGCCCAAGUGAUGGCCGAUCUUAUUGGGCCUAAAGCGUCCGUAGCUGGCCGUACAAGUCCAUCGGGAAAUCCACCUGCUCAACAGGUGGGCGCCCGGUAGAAACUGUGCGGCUUGGGACCGGAAGGCGCGACGGGUACGUCCGGGGUAGGAGUGAAAUCCCGUAAUCCUGGACGGACCGCCGAUGGCGAAAGCACGUCGAGAGAACGGAUCCGACAGUGAGGGACGAAAGCCAGGGUCUCGAACCGGAUUAGAUACCCGGGUAGUCCUGGCCGUAAACAAUGUCUGCUAGGUGUGGCUCCCACUACGAGUGGGUGCUGUGCCGUAGGGAAGCCGCUAAGCAGACCGCCUGGGAAGUACGUCCGCAAGGAUGAAACUUAAAGGAAUUGGCGGGGGAGCACUACAACCGGAGGAGCCUGCGGUUUAAUUGGAUUCAACGCCGG